RNAcentral lists this ribosomal RNA (455 nucleotides) under uncultured Hyphomonas sp. Its description in RNAcentral is "bacterial SSU rRNA". It matches the Rfam family "Bacterial small subunit ribosomal RNA", at positions 912 to 1382 of the family's 1533-position model. Lineage: Bacteria; Pseudomonadati; Pseudomonadota; Alphaproteobacteria; Hyphomonadales; Hyphomonadaceae. The record is from RNAcentral.
GACGGGGGCCCGCACAAGCGGUGGAGCAUUAGUGGUUUUAAUUCCGAAGCAACGCGCAGAACCUUACUACCCUUGACAUGUCCAGUAUGGUUUCCAGAGAUGGAUUCCUUCAGUUCGGCUGGCUGGAACACAGGUGCUGCAUGGCUGUCGUCAGCUCGUGUCGUGAGAUGUUGGGUUAAGUCCCGCAACGAGCGCAACCCUCAUCCUUAGUUGCCAUCACGUUUGGGUGGGCACUCUAAGGAAACUGCCGGUGGUAAGCCGGAGGAAGUGGGGAUGACGUCAAGUCCUCAUGGCCCUUACGGGUAGGGCUACACACGUGCUACAAUGGCAGUGACAAUGGGUUAAUCCCAAAAAGCUGUCUCAGUUCAGAUUGUCCUCUGCAACUCGAGGGCAUGAAGGUGGAAUCGCUAGUAAUCGUGGAUCAGCAUGCCACGGUGAAUACGUUCCCGGGCCUU